GGCGACUGAAAGGGGACCAGCCCAGCGCAUAACCUCGCGGUCUGAUACGGCCGUCGAGGGGUGUUGCGUUUUGGUGGAUCCGUACCGCUCGAGCUGCUGACCGCCUAAGUCAUUGCUUGAAUGCAGCCCCGAGGAGGGUGGUAGGCCCGUGUGGCGGCGCCUGUAAAAAGGUUUUAGGCAGCUUGGGCGGAGGGGUCUUUACCGUAGAGUCGGGUUGCUUAGUACUGCAGCCCUAAGUAGGUGGUAAACUCCAUCUAAGGCUAAAUACUACCACGAGUCCGAUAUUGGACAAGUACCGUGAGGGAAAGCUGAAAAGGACUCUGAAGAGAGAGUUCAAGAGGACGUGAAACCAUUAGAAGCUCAAACGGGUGGAACCGUGAAGGUCGAAAGAGGGGAUUCAGCUGGCAGGGCGUGGGCUCUGGCUGCGGUUCAAGUUGCAUUUCAGUGAGAGGACCCGGCCAUGAAGUUUGUGGCGGCGGCCCCGUGGCUGGGGCUCCGCGUCCUGCGGGCUUAUUUCUCCCUCGAGUAGAGCGGGUGGCGACCCGCUGCUCAGGCUCCUAGGGCCGUGCGGGACUGGUAGCCCGCGCUUCGGCGCGGGUGAUGACCCGCUGCGGUGCUGACCGGGCUUGGGCGGCGGUCACUGCAAGGAGGCCGCGGAGAGAAGAAUGCGGCCUCUCGCCACUUGAGAGUGAUUGGUAAUCCACCCGACCCGUCUUGAAACACGGACCAAGGAGUCCAACAUGUGCGCGAGUCUAAGGGUACUCUAAACCCGGAGGCGAAAUGAAAGUGAGCUCGUUCUGGGCAGGCCGAUCCCCUGCCUGUCAGGGCCUGUUGGGCCAGCUAGGUUGAGAGAAUAUCCUGGGCUGGUGCCGGCGGUGCCGUGGCGGGCGGCCCGCUGCUCUUGUGAGGCGGCGGGAGUUGGGGCGCAGGCCGAGGACUUGGCGUUGUGCGGCCGCCAGAAACGGGGUGCUCCCUCGGGGGCUCCCUGGACUGGUGGUCCGCGGCCAAGUACCUGAGAGCGCAGCCGUUGGGACCCGAAAGAUGGUGAACUAUGCCUGGCGAGGACGAAGCCAGAGGAAACUCUGGUGGAGGUCCGAAGCAGUUCUGACGUGCAAAUCGAUUGUCAGAGCUGGGUAUAGGGGCGAAAGACUAAUCGAACCAUCUAGUAGCUGGUUCCCUCCGAAGUUUCCCUCAGGAUAGCUGGCAUUCGGAGGUGUGAGUUUCAUCCGGUAAAGCGAAUGAUUAGAGGCCUUGGUGGUGCAAUGCCGUCAACCUAUUCUCAAACUUUAAAUGGGUGAGACGUGGAGCUUGCUUGAGACGUGAAGCUCUAUGAUGCAAAGAAUCAGAGUGCCUAGUGGGCCACUUUUGGUAAGCAGAACUGGCGCUGUGGGAUGAACCAAACGUACGAGUUAAGGGGCCUAAAGGAAUGCUAAUGUAGACACUACGAAAAGGUGUUGGUUGCUAUAGACAGCAGGGCGGUGGCCAUGGAAGUUGGAAUCCGCUAAGGAGUGUGUAACAACUCACCUGCCGAAGCAACUAGCCCUUAAAAUGGUAUGGCGCUCAAGCAUUCUCCCGAUACUCGGCCGCCGGGGCAUUGUUUUGGUGCUGAGAGAGGCGCUAUGGAAGCCCCGGCGAGUAGGAGGGUCGCAGCGGUGAGCGUCGAAGGGACUCGGCGUGAGCCGGCCUGGAGCCGCCGCUGGCGCAGAUCUUGGUGGUAGUAGCAAAUAAUCAAGAGAGAGCCUCGUUGGCUGAUGUGGAGAAGGGUUCCAUGUCAACAUCAGUUGAACAUGGGUGAGUCAGGCCUAAGCCCAAGGAUAAAGUUCCUGUGUCCCAUGUGAUCCCAGGCCUCUAAACGGAGAGAAGAAUGUUUAGUUGGCGUGGUGGGUCACCGGCUGCUGGCUGCUGCUGCUCCUCCUCCUCCUCCUCCUGCUGCUGCUCUUCCCUUUGGGUAGUAGUAGGGGUUGCGGUUGCUUGUUGGUGAUGGCUGCUGCGAGUCUUUGGACGGCUGCCCUGUUGCAGGAGCUGCGCCUGCCCUGGCUGCCCGGUCGGAGAGAAGAAAGACUGGGCGGCGGAUAGGGUGGUGGCGUGGCGAUUGGCAGUGGYUGGUCUCCUGGGCCGCGGCGGCGACACCAGCAGCAGCGUAAGCAGCCCCUUUNCUGUGCCUGGCCGGUGAGAAGAAUGNCCANGCGAGCGAGCGAGAGAGAGAGAGAGAGGGAGAGCGAGAUAGAGCGUGGCUGGCGGCUGGCUGGCCCCCUGCUGGUGAUUAAGAAAUUUGUUAAAGCUGGAAGGGAUGCAGUGGCGAAAGGGAAUACGGUAAUGAUUCCGUGACCUGUGUUCGGACGGGCCCGGUGUCUGCCUCUGAGGUGGAGGCCGGGUCAAGUGUGUGACGAUUCCUGGCAACGGGAUCUGGCUUGUGUCCACUGGCNNNUGGUCCGGGGGAGAGUUUUCUUUUCUGUUUUAGGCCCCGUGAUCCCCGGAAAUCCUAUGAAGCGAGAAGGGGGUGAUGGUAUAGCAAACCAUCACGGUGGCCGUAGAGCGACACAGUUCUUGUGUUGUCCCGUCACCAACGCCAGUCCGUGAAAGAUGCAAGUGAGGAAGUCACACGGGUCGGAGUCCGGGGCGGGUGUGGGUGGCUGGCCCCUNGGGUCGGUGCCCCGCUCGCUCGUGGUGACCCUGUUUCGACACAGACUGUACCC
This 2696-nucleotide ribosomal RNA is filed under the name Palaemon paludosus. Its description in RNAcentral is "eukaryotic LSU rRNA". It matches the Rfam family "Eukaryotic large subunit ribosomal RNA", at positions 88 to 1850 of the family's 3401-position model. The record is from RNAcentral. Lineage: Eukaryota; Metazoa; Arthropoda; Malacostraca; Decapoda; Palaemonidae.